This is a non-coding RNA of Pelobates cultripes (western spadefoot toad), 201 nucleotides long. The record is from the annotation of a GenBank genome assembly. Lineage: Eukaryota; Metazoa; Chordata; Amphibia; Anura; Pelobatidae.
UCUAAGUCUAUGUGUCGUGCAAGAACCUCGUUCAAUAAUGUUUGAACCCUUUUCCAGUAUUUGGUCACUUCAGGGCAUUCCCACCACAUGUGAACAAAGGUGCCUUUGCCCCCGCAACCUUUCCAACAUGUGUCUGUCGAGGUUUUCCCCAUCUUAUGGAGUUGGACCAGUGUUGUGUACCACCUCAUGAGCAUUUUAUAG